RNAcentral lists this ribosomal RNA (477 nucleotides) under Amazophrynella amazonicola. Its description in RNAcentral is "partial 16S ribosomal RNA". It matches the Rfam family "Bacterial large subunit ribosomal RNA", at positions 1924 to 2560 of the family's 2925-position model. Lineage: Eukaryota; Metazoa; Chordata; Amphibia; Anura; Bufonidae. The record is from RNAcentral.
UUAACGGCCGCGGUAUCCUAACCGUGCGAAGGUAGCGCAAUCACUUGUCCUCUAAAUCAGGACUAGUAUGAACGGCAUCACGAGGGUUAUACUGUCUCCUUUUUCCAAUUAGUGAACUUAAUCUUCCCGUGAAGAAACUGGAAUAUCCUUAUAAGACGAGAAGACCCUUUGGAGCUUUAAACAACUUAGCACUUGCAACAUCUUAAUAUUUCCGAAUACUCUAACCCGCACAAUGACUAUAAGUUUUAGGUUGGGGUGACCGUGGAGUAAAAUACAUCCUCCACACUGUAAGAUUUUCAAAUCUUAACUAAGAGCCACACCUCUAAGUAUUAGCAUACUAACAUCUAUUGACCCAAUAUAUUUGAUCAACGAACCAAGUUACCCAAGGGAUAACAGCGCUAUCCAUUUCAAGAGUUCCUAUCGCCAAAUGGGUUUACGACCUCGAUGUUGGAUCAGGAUCUCCCAGCCGCUCUAAUG